ACGGUUUGUCUUUGAUUCCUUCCCGUAGAUCGGUUUAGAUUUUGAUUUACUGAUGGAGUAGUUUUCGUAUCGUCGACGUCGUGGAUCUGAUACUUGAUCCCAUUUGUUUUAAGUUUAGUAGGUGUGACCUAGAUUCGUUGUUGGAUUUCAUUUUGUUGAUCGUUGGUGUGUUUGUAAGAUAUGCUUUUGAGCUUUGGGUUUUCAAAAUUUUCUACUCUAAUUGUACAAGGGGAUAGAUUCUCAACUGCCACCACUAGCGUGUAGGUUCAUGUAAAAAUGAUUACUUUUUAUACUUAUUAAUGGUAUUGUUGCUUCUUCCUGCAAGUAAAGUCUUCACCUUUACUCUUUAUUCAUUUGCCUACUAGCUUGUCCUUUUCACUCAAUCACCUCAAGAUAAUGUUUAAAUUAACGAAUGAGAAAGCUAGUUUCUUUAGAUGAAUCAUGUUAGUUUCCUUUGAGAUGGGUUUUUUUAUUGGUGGCUUCUCUUAGUAGUGUCUGGAGGAGGCUUUUACACAGAGGAGUAAUAUUCAUACUGAGAGAGGAGGAUAGAGAAAUGGCUGAUGGGAUAUCUAGCUUUUGGGGUCCCGUGACCUCUACUAUAGAGUGUUGUGAGAAGAACUACGCCUACUCAUCCUACAUUGCUGAGUUCUACAACACCAUCUCCGGUCUCCCUGGUAUCCUACUCGCUCUCAUUGGUCUCGUCAAUGCCUUAAGGCAACGGUUUGAGAAGAGGUUUAGCAUCCUUCACAUCUCCAACAUGAUCCUUGCUAUCGGCAGCAUGCUCUACCAUGCCACUUUGCAGCACGUGUAAGUAUAUGUAGCUGUUUGAUUGAUUUUAAGUUUGGUUAAUGAUGAUUCUAUGUCUCUUGUUCGGAACAGGCAACAACAGAGCGAUGAGACCCCAAUGGUGUGGGAGAUACUUCUUUACAUGUACAUCCUCUACUCACCAGACUGGCAUUACAGAAGCACCAUGCCCACUUUCCUCUUCCUCUACGGUGCCGCCUUUGCUGCAGUCCACGCUUACCUCAGGUUUGGGAUCGCUUUCAAGGUCCACUACGUGAUCCUCUGCCUUCUCUGCAUCCCUCGGAUGUACAAGUACUACAUUCACACCGAGGACGCCGCGGCUAAAAGGAUUGCGAAAUGGUACGUUGCCACGAUCCUGGUGGGGAGCGUGUGCUGGUUCUGCGACCGUGUGUUCUGCAAGAGGAUAUCUCAGUGGCCUGUGAACCCUCAGGGACAUGCUCUGUGGCAUGUCUGCAUGGGUUUCAACUCUUACUUCGCCAACACGUUCUUGAUGUUCUGUCGAGCUCAGCAACGUGGAUGGAAUCCGAAGGUUAAGUACUUUCUGGGAGUUCUUCCUUAUGUCAAGAUCGAGAAGCCGAAAGCACAAUGAGAAAGAUUCGGGGGAAAAAGAGCCCAGAAGAAGAAGAUCAUAAAUAUAGUUUUUGUUCAUCGGAUUUAUCAGAAAUUUCGACUUUUUUAUUAUAUAUUAUUUUGGAAGUGAAACUCUCUAGAUACAGAGUCUAGAUUCUUUGUUUCUUGUAUUAGUUUUUAUCGGGGAUGAUGAUGAUCUUAAGAAGAAUUGAUUUUUUUAAGAUUUGACAUUAAGAAUCUCUGUUUUAAUGGAACUGGUGUAAAAGCCUCAGAUGUGUGGUCAUUAUCGUUGUAAUCUUUAGGCCAAAAAUAUUUAAACAAUCCAUCUAUUGUCACAUCCAAGGACUGUAAUGGGAUAAAUGAUUUCGGUGAGCAAGCACUAUACAGUAGUGAGGAUUAUUCAGUUUAAAAGAAACAAAGUUGUUAAUGCUCAACAGUUACGAAAUUAAGUUUAAAGAUGAACAGCAGUUACGUAGUUGUGUUAGAUGGCCGCAUAUAGCGUACAUCUUUGUCAGUAGCCUUGUUUUCGGAUGUACAGGAGAUCCACGCAGAGCUCGAAAAAAUAUACCGAAGAGUAACAAAUGAGGCAGAGCUUGUGUCAACAUCAUACAUAGGUUAACAUUUACAAAUUACAAAAAAAGGAGAAACCCGAGUAUUUCAAGUGUUUUUCGAGCUUGAAAAUGUAGUUGCGAAUCUUGAGUUUGUGUUUUCAGGUGGAUGUGAAGGCGGAUACUAGUAAACGGCUUUUAGCAACUUAAUCAAAUCCUAAUCAUCUAUGAGGUCUUUGUACUAAUUCGCUUAAUCUAUCUAGUUAUUGUAUAAAACCGAUCCACUUAGCUUAUCCAGCCAGAACAAGGAGUUUUUCUUUAAUGCAGUCAUGGGCCAAUCGAAGAAGGCCCAGUUAUUUCGUGAAUUUUAGAAGCUAGCCUAAGCUACAAAGAACCAUUAAGACCAAGAAAAUGUUAAGAGUUCGUCAAACAAUAUUUUGGGAUUUAGAGAGUUUGAUGAGCAUGUGCGCUCGAGAUACACACAAUUGUUGACGAUGUUCCUAAUUAACGUGCCUAAAAAUAGGAACAUGUGAGCUCUUUUGAAGGACAUUAGAUGGAGAGAUCAUUUUGUAAUCUUUUGUUUUGUUAUUUAUAUAAGUUCAGUUCGUCAAUUAAAUCUCAGUAAAGUUAUAUCCAUAGAUAAUAAUGCUUUCCUAAAUUCAUACUGCCAGUUAUAACAUUUUAAUUGUGGUUUUUAAUUCUCCAAAAUAAGUUUUUGAAAUGUCUAAUAAUAAUGUUAUUCAAUCGUAAGUUUAAAUUCAUUUUUUUUAGAUUUUAUAAAACUUUUAGAAUCAAAAUUUUGGUUUAAAAUUUUAAAAUACACGUGGAUUCUAAAUUUUACUUUAUCAACGAUUCCAAAUCUUACUUAAUUCUUUAAAAAAAUAAUUUACUUAUAAUCUUUUAUUGAAAUUCAUUUACAAUAUUUACUAUCCCAAUACUUUAAAAUUAUUUACUCUUGAAUAAUCUGGAUUUUUAGAAGAUAUAAAACUUUAAUUGAAUAAUAAAAAAAAAAUUAAGUGAAAAAAUCCAAUAACAAUAAAUUUUGAAGUAUUAUUUAGAUUUAUUAGUUAAAUAAUUUUUUUUUACAAUGUUAAAACAAGGAAAAACAAAGUUUGACUAGUAAUAUUUGUAGUUAGUUAAACUAAAUGAUUAAUUGUAGAACCACCAUUGUCCAAUAUUCAAUAUUUUAAGAUCGAUUCCUAGAUGGUACAAUUUUGUGUAAUAAAUUUUAGGGUGCUGCAUAUAUAGCCGUUCAUUGUAGUUGUAUUACAUGCAAAGAGUUUGUUCAUCGUAGAUAUUGUAUAUGCAUAUGAUCGUAAUAAAAAUUGGAUUAUGAUUUUGAAAGUUGAGUGAGUUGAACUGUGAAAAUAUUGUUUAGAAAAUUAUUCAUUAGUAUCGCAUAUGUUACAAUGUAAUAGAUGAUCAUAAUAUAAUAAAGAGAUAUAAAUAUGAUAAUGUAUUUGAGAUUUGACUAAGGUUAAAAAAUGAUUGGACGAAAAAGGGUUAGAUGGCGAAAUCUAAGAGAAGUGUAAUGAAUGGAGGAGUCCUCGUUUGUAAAUUUGUAAUCAACGUUAAGUAAGAAAAGGAAAGAAUAGUAGGGACCAGAAAUGUAAAUUAAUACAAAUUUAUCUAACCAUCAUCACAUCAUGUCGACGACGAUACGCGCCGCUCUUAGUUUUGUUAAAUUGUUAAUCUAUGUUUAUUACCUUAAAAUCGAAAUUCCGGCAGAUAAAAAGACGACAAUGCCCCUGAAAAGAGAGAGAGAAGGCGAAGAAGAAACAAAACGAUCAGGGAGGAGGCAGAGAAAGAGAUAGAGAGAAAGGUCAUCUGAUUCCUUCGAUCUGCUAAGAAGAAAGGAAGGAAGGAAGGAGAUCGAUCUUCUUUGUCUGCAUCAUCGCCCAGGAGUAAACGGUUUGUCUUUGAUUCCUUCCCGUAGAUCGGUUUAGAUUUUGAUUUACUGAUGGAGUAGUUUUCGUAUCGUCGACGUCGUGGAUCUGAUACUUGAUCCCAUUUGUUUUAAGUUUAGUAGGUGUGACCUAGAUUCGUUGUUGGAUUUCAUUUUGUUGAUCGUUGGUGUGUUUGUAAGAUAUGCUUUUGAGCUUUGGGUUUUCAAAAUUUUCUACUCUAAUUGUACAAGGGGAUAGAUUCUCAACUGCCACCACUAGCGUGUAGGUUCAUGUAAAAAUGAUUACUUUUUAUACUUAUUAAUGGUAUUGUUGCUUCUUCCUGCAAGUAAAGUCUUCACCUUUACUCUUUAUUCAUUUGCCUACUAGCUUGUCCUUUUCACUCAAUCACCUCAAGAUAAUGUUUAAAUUAACGAAUGAGAAAGCUAGUUUCUUUAGAUGAAUCAUGUUAGUUUCCUUUGAGAUGGGUUUUUUUAUUGGUGGCUUCUCUUAGUAGUGUCUGGAGGAGGCUUUUACACAGAGGAGUAAUAUUCAUACUGAGAGAGGAGGAUAGAGAAAUGGCUGAUGGGAUAUCUAGCUUUUGGGGUCCCGUGACCUCUACUAUAGAGUGUUGUGAGAAGAACUACGCCUACUCAUCCUACAUUGCUGAGUUCUACAACACCAUCUCCGGUCUCCCUGGUAUCCUACUCGCUCUCAUUGGUCUCGUCAAUGCCUUAAGGCAACGGUUUGAGAAGAGGUUUAGCAUCCUUCACAUCUCCAACAUGAUCCUUGCUAUCGGCAGCAUGCUCUACCAUGCCACUUUGCAGCACGUGUAAGUAUAUGUAGCUGUUUGAUUGAUUUUAAGUUUGGUUAAUGAUGAUUCUAUG
Molecule: long non-coding RNA, 4692 nt
Filed under: Brassica napus (rape)
Lineage: Eukaryota; Viridiplantae; Streptophyta; Magnoliopsida; Brassicales; Brassicaceae
Description: long non-coding RNA (BNAP_LNC000194)
Source: RNAcentral